ACACGGCGGGUGCUAACGUCCGUCGUGGAGAGGGAAACAACCCAGACCGCCAGCUAAGGUCCCAAAGUAUAGCUAAGUGGGAAACGAUGUGGGAAGGCUCAGACAGCCAGGAUGUUGGCUUAGAAGCAGCCAUCAUUUAAAGAAAGCGUAAUAGCUCACUGGUCGAGUCGGCCUGCGCGGAAGAUGUAACGGGGCUAAGCUAUACNNNNNNNNNNNNNNNNNNNNNACCGAAGCUGCGGCUACGUACCUUAGGGUAUGUGGGGUAGGGGAGCGUUCUGUAAGCCGUUGAAGGUGGUCUGUAAGGGCUGCUGGAGGUAUCAGAAGUGCGAAUGCUGACAUGAGUAACGAUAAAGGGAGUGAAAAACUCCCUCGCCGGAAGACCAAGGGUUCCUGUCCAACGUUAAUCGGGGCAGGGUAAGUCGACUCCUAAGGCGAGGCCGAAAGGCGUAGUCGAUGGGAAAC
RNAcentral lists this ribosomal RNA (462 nucleotides) under Vibrio cyclitrophicus. RNAcentral's name for it is "partial 23S ribosomal RNA". It matches the Rfam family "Bacterial large subunit ribosomal RNA", at positions 984 to 1426 of the family's 2925-position model. Lineage: Bacteria; Pseudomonadati; Pseudomonadota; Gammaproteobacteria; Vibrionales; Vibrionaceae. The record is from RNAcentral.